UACGUAGGGGGCGAGCGUUGUCCGGAUUUAUUGGGCGUAAAGAGCUCGUAGGCGGUUCGAUAAGUCGGACGUGAAAUCUCCACGCUCAACGUGGAGGGGCCGUUCGAUACUGUCGUGACUCGAGUCCGGUAGGGGAGUGUGGAAUUCCCGGUGUAGCGGUGAAAUGCGCAGAUAUCAGGAGGAACACCGGUGGCGAAGGCGGGUCUCUGGGCAGUAACUGACGCUGAGAAGCGAAAGCGUGGGGAGCGAACAGG
RNAcentral lists this ribosomal RNA (254 nucleotides) under uncultured bacterium. RNAcentral describes it as "partial 16S ribosomal RNA". It matches the Rfam family "Bacterial small subunit ribosomal RNA", at positions 524 to 776 of the family's 1533-position model. The record is from RNAcentral.